AGAGUUUGAUCAUGGCUCAGGACGAACGCUGGCGGCGUGCCUAACACAUGCAAGUCGAACGGGGUGAGGCCCUUCGGGACCUUUACCUAGUGGCGAACGGGUGAGUAACGCGUGAGGAACCUGCCUUUAAGUGGGGGACAACAGUUGGAAACGACUGCUAAUACCGCAUGAAGCUUUUGGGAGACAUCUCCUGGAAGCCAAAGCUUAAUGUGCUGAAAGAUGGCCUCGCGUCUGAUUAGCUAGUUGGUGGGGUAACGGCCCACCAAGGCGACGAUCAGUAGCCGGUCUGAGAGGAUGAACGGCCACAUUGGGACUGAGAUACGGCCCAGACUCCUACGGGAGGCAGCAGUGGGGAAUACUGGGCAAUGGGCGAAAGCCUGACCCAGCAACGCCGCGUGAAGGAAGAAGGCCUUCGGGUUGUAAACUUCUUUUACCAGGGACGAAGGACGUGACGGUACCUGGAGAAAAAGCAACGGCUAACUACGUGCCAGCAGCCGCGGUAAUACGUAGGUUGCAAGCGUUGUCCGGAUUUACUGGGUGUAAAGGGCGUGUAGGCGGAGAUGCAAGUUAGGAGUGAAAUCUAUGGGCUCAACCCAUAAACUGCUUCUAAAACUGUAUCCCUUGAGUAUCGGAGAGGCAAGCGGAAUUCCUAGUGUAGCGGUGAAAUGCGUAGAUAUUAGGAGGAACACCAGUGGCGAAGGCGGCUUGCUGGACGACAACUGACGCUGAGGCGCGAAAGCGUGGGGAGCAAACAGGAUUAGAUACCCUGGUAGUCCACGCUGUAAACGAUGAAUACUAGGUGUGGGGGGACUGACCCCCUCCGUGCCGCAGUUAACACAAUAAGUAUUCCACCUGGGGAGUACGACCGCAAGGUUGAAACUCAAAGGAAUUGACGGGGGCCCGCACAAGCAGUGGAUUAUGUGGUUUAAUUCGACGCAACGCGAAGAACCUUACCAGGACUUGACAUCCAACUAACGAAGUAGAGAUACAUCAGGUGCCCUUCGGAGAAAGUUGAGACAGGUGGUGCAUGGUUGUCGUCAGCUCGUGUCGUGAGAUGUUGGGUUAAGUCCCGCAACGAGCGCAACCCCUAUUGUUAGUUGCUACGAAAGAGCACUCUAGCGAGACUGCCGUUGACAUAACGGAGGAAGGCGGGGACGACGUCAAAUCAUCAUGCCCCUUAUGUCCUGGGCUACACACGUAAUACAAUGGUGGCCAGCAGAGGAAGCGAAGCCGUGAGGCAGAGCAAACCCCUAAAAGCCAUCUCAGUUCGGAUUGCAGGCUGCAACUCGCCUGCAUGAAGCUGGAAUUGCUAGUAAUCGCGGAUCAGCAUGCCGCGGUGAAUACGUUCCCGGGCCUUGUACACACCGCCCGUCACACCAUGAGAGUCGGGAACACCCGGAGUCCGUAGUCUAACCGCAAGGGGGGCGCGGCCGAAGGUGGGUCCGGUAAUUGGGGUGAAGUCGUAACAAGGUA
Molecule: ribosomal RNA, 1473 nt
Filed under: metagenome
Description: bacterial SSU rRNA
Rfam family: Bacterial small subunit ribosomal RNA
Source: RNAcentral